RNAcentral lists this ribosomal RNA (497 nucleotides) under uncultured bacterium. RNAcentral's name for it is "partial 16S ribosomal RNA". It matches the Rfam family "Bacterial small subunit ribosomal RNA", at positions 28 to 507 of the family's 1533-position model. The record is from RNAcentral.
GAUGAACGCUGGCGGCGUGCCUAAUACAUGCAAGUCGAGCGAACAGACGAGGAGCUUGCUCCUCUGACGUUAGCGGCGGACGGGUGAGUAACACGUGGAUAACCUACCUAUAAGACUGGGAUAACUUCGGGAAACCGGAGCUAAUACCGGAUAAUAUAUUGAACCGCAUGGUUCAAUAGUUAAAGACGGUUUUGCUGUCACUUAUAGCUGGAUCCGCGCCGCAUUAGCUAGUUGGUAAGGUAACGGCUUACCAAGGCAACGAUGCGUAGCCGACCUGAGAGGGUGAUCGGCCACACUGGAACUGAGACACGGUCCAGACUCCUACGGGAGGCAGCAGUAGGGAAUCUUCCGCAAUGGGCGAAAGCUUGACGGAGCAACGCCGCGUGAGUGAUGAAGGUCUUCGGAUCGUAAAACUCUGUUAUUAGGGAAGAACAAAUGUGUAAGUAACUAUGCACGUCUUGACGGUACCUAAUCAGAAAGCCACGGCUAACUACGUG